Molecule: long non-coding RNA, 432 nt
Filed under: Fukomys damarensis (Damara mole-rat)
Lineage: Eukaryota; Metazoa; Chordata; Mammalia; Rodentia; Bathyergidae
Description: lncRNA (ENSFDAG00000021834.1)
Source: RNAcentral
AUGAUUGCUGCCUCACUUCGUCCUAACCCCGGUGAGCGGUUUUCAGCCAAGACCCAGGAGAUGUUUGUUGGGCCUAGGGAUAUGAAAGCCUCCGAUAGAGUCUGUGACAGGAAAAUAUCAUCAUCUCCGACACCUGAUUACUCCUUGAUGCUUCCAAUGAAUCUGCAGUGCCUGAGCAUCUGUUCCACCUGGACACCUUUUCUCACUCGAUCUGAGGGUGUGAAUAGGCCCUGUGACGCUGCAGAACAUAACAGUAGCAAGAGUGGAGGGGAUGAUACUGGCAACGCGGCAGCCUAUGCUCGUGCUCCAGGAACAUCAGUGGCUCCCACCACUCACUGCGUGUUAGGAUCACCCUCAGAAGCACAGCUGAAACACUGGAGUCUGUUCCCUAUCAAUUAAAGCAAAAUUUUGUUGUCCAAUAUUAUUUCCCUG